Molecule: ribosomal RNA, 1133 nt
Filed under: uncultured Azospirillum sp.
Lineage: Bacteria; Pseudomonadati; Pseudomonadota; Alphaproteobacteria; Rhodospirillales; Azospirillaceae
Description: bacterial SSU rRNA
Rfam family: Bacterial small subunit ribosomal RNA
Source: RNAcentral
GCAAGUCGAGCGGACAGAAGGGAGCUUGCUCCCGGAUGUUAGCGGCGGACGGGUGAGUAACACGUGGGUAACCUGCCUGUAAGACUGGGAUAACUUCGGGAAACCGGAGCUAAUACCGGAUAGUUCCUUGAACCGCAUGGUUCAAGGAUGAAAGACGGUUUCGGCUGUCACUUACAGAUGGACCCGCGGCGCAUUAGCUAGUUGGUGGGGUAAUGGCUCACCAAGGCGACGAUGCGUAGCCGACCUGAGAGGGUGAUCGGCCACACUGGGACUGAGACACGGCCCAGACUCCUACGGGAGGCAGCAGUAGGGAAUCUUCCGCAAUGGACGAAAGUCUGACGGAGCAACGCCGCGUGAGUGAUGAAGGUUUUCGGAUCGUAAAGCUCUGUUGUUAGGGAAGAACAAGUGCGAGAGUAACUGCUCGCACCUUGACGGUACCUAACCAGAAAGCCACGGCUAACUACGUGCCAGCAGCCGCGGUAAUACGUAGGUGGCAAGCGUUGUCCGGAAUUAUUGGGCGUAAAGGGCUCGCAGGCGGUUUCUUAAGUCUGAUGUGAAAGCCCCCGGCUCAACCGGGGAGGGUCAUUGGAAACUGGGAAACUUGAGUGCAGAAGAGGAGAGUGGAAUUCCACGUGUAGCGGUGAAAUGCGUAGAGAUGUGGAGGAACACCAGUGGCGAAGGCGACUCUCUGGUCUGUAACUGACGCUGAGGAGCGAAAGCGUGGGGAGCGAACAGGAUUAGAUACCCUGGUAGUCCACGCCGUAAACGAUGAGUGCUAAGUGUUAGGGGGUUUCCGCCCCUUAGUGCUGCAGCUAACGCAUUAAGCACUCCGCCUGGGGAGUACGGUCGCAAGACUGAAACUCAAAGGAAUUGACGGGGGCCCGCACAAGCGGUGGAGCAUGUGGUUUAAUUCGAAGCAACGCGAAGAACCUUACCAGGUCUUGACAUCCUCUGACAACCCUAGAGAUAGGGCUUUCCCUUCGGGGACAGAGUGACAGGUGGUGCAUGGUUGUCGUCAGCUCGUGUCGUGAGAUGUUGGGUUAAGUCCCGCAACGAGCGCAACCCUUGAUCUUAGUUGCCAGCAUUCAGUUGGGCACUCUAAGGUGACUGCCGGUGACAAACCGGAGGAAGGU